GGAUAUGCGGUGAAGUUGGAGAGUUACAGCGGAUUGUAAAUCCGUUCCCACUGGGUGAGUAGGUUCGAAUCCUACCAUAUCCACCA
This 86-nucleotide transfer RNA is filed under the name Alishewanella phage vB_AspM_Slicko01. RNAcentral's name for it is "tRNA-Tyr". It matches the Rfam family "tRNA". Rfam says of the family: Transfer RNA (tRNA) molecules are approximately 80 nucleotides in length. RNAcentral also lists the same sequence under 1 other name. Lineage: Duplodnaviria; Heunggongvirae; Uroviricota; Caudoviricetes. The record is from RNAcentral.